This 436-nucleotide ribosomal RNA is filed under the name Pravonitor stuarti. RNAcentral describes it as "Pravonitor sp. s FK-2022 partial large subunit ribosomal RNA". Lineage: Eukaryota; Metazoa; Mollusca; Gastropoda; Stylommatophora; Helicarionidae. The record is from RNAcentral.
AAUCAUAAAAAAUUUACUGCAAAGAUAUAUUAUUAUAUUAUUUUAUAUACCUUUUGCAUAAUGGUUUAAUUAUUUACUUGAAAAUUUACCUACCCGAAAUUAGAAGAUCUAACUUUCUCUUUUUUAGAGAACUAAUGUUUCAAAAUUAGAAAUAGUUUAAGUUAGGGAUGAAAGGUCUAGCAAUUCUAUAGAUAUCUGGAAUAAUUUUAAAUGUAUUAAGUACAAAAUAAAUUUGAAUAAAAAAAUGUUAAGGUUUUUUUAAUUAGAAUAAAGGAAUUAGGUAUGAAUUAACCUCCAAUACAUAAUAUAAAUAUAAUAAAUUUCUAUUUUAUCUACUAUAAUUAUAUAAUUUAAUUACUUAUAAGUUAAUUAUGUUAAAAUUAGUAUUAUUUAUAUGUUUAAUUAAGGAACUCGGCAAAUUACUCAUCUGUUUAUC